This 392-nucleotide transfer-messenger RNA is filed under the name Patescibacteria group. RNAcentral's name for it is "XYB2-FULL-45-11 sp001791305 Standard tmRNA". It matches the Rfam family "transfer-messenger RNA". Rfam says of the family: Bacterial tmRNA, also known as 10Sa RNA or SsrA, is named for its dual tRNA and mRNA-like properties. The record is from RNAcentral. RNAcentral also lists the same sequence under 6 other names.
GGGAUUGAUCGGUAUCGAUGAGAGUCGAUUUGUUCGUGAUCAAGUUGAGGGUGUGUGAUACCUCAUGAAUCCAUCACACAGACGCCAAAUGCAAAAAACGUCAUGGCGAUGAUCAAGAACGCUUUCAGUGUUCCUGCAUUCGCUCCGGUUUUCGCUUAAUUGCGUAAAACCCAUUCGUCUUCCUGAUGCUCAGUAGGGAAAUGCGGGUGCUAUAUUUAUUGAGCUCGCGUGCAUAGGUGUUCGGUCUCUUGCACGUCAAAAUUGCGAUCGAUAAUCUUGUGUGUGUUUCGUCUCGCUUCAAACACAUAGGAUUAUUCAAGCGAGACUCAACUUGCAAACGUCCGUUCAAAAACACUUAUCAGACGGGGGUUCAAUUCCCCCCAAUUCCACCA